Molecule: long non-coding RNA, 1006 nt
Organism: Drosophila eugracilis
Lineage: Eukaryota; Metazoa; Arthropoda; Insecta; Diptera; Drosophilidae
Exons: 2
Source: RefSeq, a predicted model, not a curated record
UAUUUUUAACUUUACUUUACUAUUAACAGACCUAAAGGACAUUAGCUUUCAGUGCCUAUAAAACCCUUCAUACCAACUUAAUAUAUAGUGCACUGCACAAAGUCGAUGAGGAAGUCCUCCUCGAUGCUAAUCUUCAUCAUUGGCACUGACUUCUUGGCUCUCUUCCCUUUCGAAGAUUUUCCAGCCAUCACAAGGUAUGCGUAGCCCCAGAAGGUGUUCACCUUAGUCCCUCAUUUUCGCACCGAAUCAAGAUGGAACGCAACCAGCACGGACCUGGAAACUUUCACCCGAACUCGACAAAGGCAACCGGCGAAUGUGGCGCCCUUUUCACAGGACUCCGAUACCUUGGUGCUCCUCGUGUUUUGUUGUUGACACACACGUGUGUGUGGCGUCGAGUGGCACGUGGGUGAAAAUAAGCCAACCCCACUUUCACUUUUCCUCCCAAACGUCUCACGAUUUCGAGACGUUGCCGCCGCCACCAGUGCCCCCGAUUCUAAUACCGAAUCCGAAUCGGUAUUCGAGUCCGAUUCCUGUUUGGGCUACCCCAUCGCAUGUUAGAGCAUUUAAUGCUAGGCGUAAUGACAUGACACCAAUGUCAAUAUUUCGACAAAGUGUACGGCGUAGUGUGUCAACAAGUUUCCAACGCGCAGAGCCACAAGUUUUACGGAGUUCGGUGCUGAGGGUGAGCUUAAUAGUUUAAGGUCUCGGUCAAAUUUAGUCGAGUAUUAAAGGUAGCAUAGUGUUUUGUUAAACUUGGGACCUAUUAGGUAUUACAUUUUAUUUUUUUAUUAUACUCGAAAUAAGUUUGCCUUAUUUGCAAUCAGAUAGUUUAUUUGCUUUUAAGGAGUUAUCUUAAUUAUUUCCUUAAUCGAACUAUUAUUUUUGAUUUUUUUCUAUUUAAGUAUUUUCUUAUAUUUCCAUUGACUUAAAAGAAGAACUUUUUAAUUAUAUUUAAUUAUUCGUAAUUCUAAGAAUGGAUUAUAAUUAAAGCACAACCGAAUGUAAA